UUCCGGCAGGUGAUGUCACGCAAUCCCAGCAUGCACCAGUCAAUAUCAAAACACUGCCAUCGGAGCUGAGCCAGAGUUAGCUAGCUACGUUACUAGCUAGCUAGUUGCACCUAUUGUAGAUAGCUAGCUAGAUAAAUAGAUCAUUUUUAUUGAUCCCAAGGGGAAAUAAUUUGCUGCCUAUUUAAUAAACGCCUUGAUUCAGCAUGGUGGAUAGCUGCUGUGCGCCAGGAUGCCAGAACCAUCGGAAAAAAAGAUAAUGGAUAGCAUUUUAUGAGAUGCCUAGCUAAAGCUCCCGAGAGAAGAAGUAAAUGGAUUGCUUCCAUAAAACCUGCUAGAAGCAGACGGAACCAAACCGAGCCAUGGGAGCCCACAAACUGGAUUUCGGUUAUGCUGUGACCACUUUAUAUCAGGGAAAAAGAGUGACAACCCUCUGUCACCCGACUACAAUCCUUCAAUCUUCAAUCAUGUUCCAUCCCCGGAGAAGAGAAAAAGAAGAAUGAGUUAGAUGUAGUCAACAGAAGAACAAACUUCAAAGAAUAGAGAAAGCAGCAAAGCCAUCAGCUGCAGCAGUAAUCUAACAGAUUGUCCUCAAGACAACAGCAAGCAUCCUACUGCAGACCAGGUGAAGGAAUCUAACAAACAAAGAACUUGAAAAUGAAAAUAUUCUGCCUUUUCCCCAUGAAAAUGAUGAUCCAGCAACUUCACCAUUAGAGAGUAAAGUUUUUUUUUUUAAGAAACACAUUCAUUCUCUUGAGUUGGAAUGCCAAGCUCUGAUAAAUGAAUAUGUUGUUAAAAGAGAAAAUGAAUACAACUGCACUGAAUGAGAAUGGAAUACAUCAAAAACUCUGCUGCCCGUCUCCUCACCCACACCCAUUCCCGUGAUCACAUCACUCCCGUCCUUCAGAGCCUCCACUGGCUCCCUGUUUCCCAACGCAUCCAGUUUAGUCCUCCUCACCCACAAAGCCCUCCAUAACCAGGCUCCUUCCUCACAGACCUGCUCCACGACCACACUCCCCCCCGUAACCUCUGCUCCUCUGACACUAACCUCCUCUCCCCACCACUCAGGACCACGCACCUUACCUGGUGGGACAGAGCUUUCACCAUUGCAGCCACCUCCCUCUGGAACUCCAUACCCAUACACAUCCGUGUCUGUACUGACCUGGACACAUUCAAAACACACCUCUUCAGAUUAGCUUUCCACAUACAAUAGUCUUACAUUUCUCACCUGAUAAUUACUGGUUUUAUUGUUUAAUUGCUUUUAAGAUGCUUGUUUUAUUGCUUAUCUUUUUUAAUGUGCUAUAUGUGCUGGUUUUACUGUAUGCUAUAUAAAUAACAUUUAUUAUUAUUAUUAUUAUUAGAUGAGUCUACAAAAUAAUGAUAAAAAGGUCAAUAUCCUCACUGGUUUACAAACAUAUUCACCACUAAUGACAGUGUUCAUUUUGUAGCUCUCUAUCUCAAAUGUAAGUGCACCCUAACAUUAUUUCAGCAGUACAUGCUGGCUUUAAUUAAGAUGAGAAUUCAUUUGUCUUUUGAUGUUUUGGCUUAUUAUUUUGACGUUGAUUUGACCGCUGUUUCAAAGCUUUUCAAACACUGUGUUGACGUAAUGUAUUGCAGAUUGGUGCCGAAGUGCAACUUGCUGUGUAUGCGUAUAGCCUAAUACUGUGGACUGUUGGUGCAGUGUUGGUGAAUAUAAGAUGCCUAAACCACGGAAGAUUAAUUGUUCUAGGGCGAUAAUGACUAUUAGGCAAUAAUGACAACAAAUAAGUAUUACAGUAGUUUAUAUUUAUUUAAUAACCUUUUUUUAAUCAUAUCACCCCUUGAUUUAUUUUCUUCUGCUGUUACGGUUCCCUGUCAUGUCACCAAAUGUACAAUGUUUAGUCUUGUCCCGCUUGUCUUGUCUAUUUUUACUAAAUAAAGAUUGUGGGCCAACUCCUUUUCUAA
This is a long non-coding RNA of Perca fluviatilis (European perch), 1941 nucleotides long. RefSeq lists it as uncharacterized. The transcript is spliced from 2 exons. Lineage: Eukaryota; Metazoa; Chordata; Actinopteri; Perciformes; Percidae. The record is from RefSeq and is a predicted model, not a curated record.